GAUGAACGCUGGCGGCGUGCCUAAUACAUGCAAGUCGAGCGAACAGAUGAGGAGCUUGCUCCUCUGACGUUAGCGGCGGACGGGUGAGUAACACGUGGAUAACCUACCUAUAAGACUGGGAUAACUUCGGGAAACCGGAGCUAAUACCGGAUAAUAUAUUGAACCGCAUGGUUCAUUAGUGAAAGACGGUUUUGCUGUCACUUAUAGAUGGAUCCGCGCCGCAUUAGCUAGUUGGUAAGGUAACGGCUUACCAAGGCAACGAUGCGUAGCCGACCUGAGAGGGUGAUCGGCCACACUGGAACUGAGACACGGUCCAGACUCCUACGGGAGGCAGCAGUAGGGAAUCUUCCGCAAUGGGCGAAAGCCUGACGGAGCAACGCCGCGUGAGUGAUGAAGGUCUUCGGAUCGUAAAGCUCUGUUAUUAGGGAAGAACAAAUGUGUAAGUAACUAUGCACGUCUUGACGGUACCUAAUCAGAAAGCCACGGCUAACUACGUG
This 497-nucleotide ribosomal RNA is filed under the name uncultured bacterium. Its description in RNAcentral is "partial 16S ribosomal RNA". It matches the Rfam family "Bacterial small subunit ribosomal RNA", at positions 28 to 507 of the family's 1533-position model. The record is from RNAcentral.